Molecule: long non-coding RNA, 1484 nt
Organism: Salvia miltiorrhiza (redroot sage)
Lineage: Eukaryota; Viridiplantae; Streptophyta; Magnoliopsida; Lamiales; Lamiaceae
Exons: 2
Source: RefSeq, a predicted model, not a curated record
ACCCUCUUUUAUCUCUCACAUCGCACGAUUAAUGGCGAGUGCCUCAGAUCUGCCGCCGACUGCUGUCUACCCGUCUUGAAUCGAUCUCCUGAUUGUUACGCACUUUUUGAUUUCGAAUUCUUCAGUUGCUAUAGCUAAUUUUCUCAUCUUUUGUGUAUACGUGCGUCGAAAUACUGAUUACCAGCGCCAUUGAUUCAAUGGGCGUUGCGUAUGAGCCGACGCAAAAUUUUGCUCUACCUGCUUCUGCAUUUCUAUCAGAGCUCGCUUUUUCGAGCUUUAUCCUAUCAGAACUGGUGAAAUUUCAUUCUAAUUUUCUCGUCUUUUCUAAAUACUAUCAUUUAGUUUUCUUCUGGUUUGUGGAACGAUUUCUUUAGAGAUGGAAAUGAUGAUUUUUUCCCCAGAUGAUUCGACGCUGAAAUAACUGAGCGCUCCUUUAUUUUCUCCCUUUGUGGAGAAAAUCCAAGCCAAAGUUCUGAUCCAUCUCUUAUUAUCAACUCAAAUUUGUAUAUUGCUACGUUUUCUUUAGUUUUAAUUAUCAAAUCUUCCGUUCCUUAUUCGUCUGGUAACACCAGGGAAGGUUUUUAUCGAUUGAAAUAUAAGUUUUUUUUUUACAAUGAUUGAAAUAUAAGUAUUUAAGUAUUAUGUUUCAAAUUGAUCUAGCUUAGUCCAUCUGUCUAAUAAAAUUAUUAAAUUAUGAAUUGUAAAAUGGAGGUGAUGAAUUUUUCCCCAGAUGAUUCGACGCUGAAAUAACUGAGCGCUCUUAUGUUUUCUCUCUUUGUGGAGAAAAUUCAAGCCAAAAUUCUGAUCCAUUUCUUUAUAUAAAUUCAAUUUCAUUAGUGUAUGAUAGGAAAAAAAAAGUUCUGUUCUGUUUUACGAGCAAUAAAGAAAAAUUUUCUCGUCGCUAUUGUCACUUAUCUGCCUCUUAAUUUAUAUUCACAUGAACAUAAUAAAAUUGAAUAUUGAACUGCGUUAGCAUAUACAAUGUCUGAAAUAUUGUAAUCAAUUAGUUGGAUGGAGGUGAUGAAUUUUUCCCCAGAUGAUUCGACGCUGAAAUAACUGAGCGCUCUUAUAUUUUCUCCCUUAGUGGAGAAAAUCCAAGCCAAAAUUCUGAUCCAUCUAAUUUCAAAUUUAUUUUCAUUAGUUUUGAGUAGAAAUUGUAUUUUUUUUCUUGCAUUACGAGCGAAAAUAGGAAUAAAUUUAUUGAAUUCUGAAAUGAUUUACCAUACAUUAUUGUCAAAGAUAAAUGAAUUAAUUCAAUAAUAGAUAAAUGAAUUAAUUCUUUGGAUGGAGGAGGUGAUGAAUUUUUCCCCAAAUGAUUCGACGUUGAAAUAAGUGCCCUUGUAUUUCUCUUUUGAGGAAAUUCAAGCCAAAAUUUUGAUCCAUCUUUUUAUGUAAAUUCAAAUUUAUUUUCAUUAGUUUUGCGCAGAAAAAGUCUAUUUUUUUCCUGCUUUUACAAGCAAGAAAUAAAAGUUUUCUUAUGAUCA